GUCGAGCGACAGAUGAGAAGCUUGCUUCUCUGAUGUUAGCGGCGGACGGGUGAGUAACACGUGGGUAACCUACCUAUAAGACUGGGAUAACUCCGGGAAACCGGGGCUAAUACCGGAUAAUAUUUUGAACCGCAUGGUUCGAUAGUGAAAGACGGUUUCGGCUGUCACUUAUAGAUGGACCCGCGCCGUAUUAGCUAGUUGGUAAGGUAACGGCUUACCAAGGCGACGAUACGUAGCCGACCUGAGAGGGUGAUCGGCCACACUGGAACUGAGACACGGUCCAGACUCCUACGGGAGGCAGCAGUAGGGAAUCUUCCGCAAUGGGCGAAAGCCUGACGGAGCAACGCCGCGUGAGUGAUGAAGGUCUUCGGAUCGUAAAACUCUGUUGUUAGGGAAGAACAAAUUUGUUAGUAACUGAACAAGUCUUGACGGUACCUAACCAGAAAGCCACGGCUAACUACGUGCCAGCAGCCGCGGUAAUACGUAGGUGGCAAGCGUUAUCCGGAAUUAUUGGGCGUAAAGCGCGCGUAGGCGGUUUCUUAAGUCUGAUGUGAAAGCCCACGGCUCAACCGUGGAGGGUCAUUGGAAACUGGGAAACUUGAGUGCAGAAGAGGAGAGUGGAAUUCCAUGUGUAGCGGUGAAAUGCGCAGAGAUAUGGAGGAACACCAGUGGCGAAGGCGGCUCUCUGGUCUGUAACUGACGCUGAUGUGCGAAAGCGUGGGGAUCAAACAGGAUUAGAUACCCUGGUAGUCCACGCCGUAAACGAUGAGUGCUAAGUGUUAGGGGGUUUCCGCCCCUUAGUGCUGCAGCUAACGCAUUAAGCACUCCGCCGUGGGGAGUACGACCGCAAGGUUGAAACUCAAAGGAAUUGACG
Molecule: ribosomal RNA, 874 nt
Filed under: Mammaliicoccus sciuri
Lineage: Bacteria; Bacillati; Bacillota; Bacilli; Caryophanales; Staphylococcaceae
Description: bacterial SSU rRNA
Rfam family: Bacterial small subunit ribosomal RNA
Source: RNAcentral